CACGCUUGUAAUCCCAGCACUUUGGGAGGCUGAGGCGGGUAGAUCACGAGGUCAGGAGUUUGAGACCAGCCUGGCCAACAUGGUGAAACCCCGUCUCUACUAAAAAUACAAAAAUCAACUGGGCAUGGUGGUGCACACCUGUAAUCCCAGCUACUCAGGAGGCUGAGGGAGGAGAAUCGCUUGAACCCGGGAGGUGGAGGUUGCAGUGAGCCGAGAUCGC
Molecule: long non-coding RNA, 220 nt
Filed under: Homo sapiens (human)
Lineage: Eukaryota; Metazoa; Chordata; Mammalia; Primates; Hominidae
Description: HSALNT0391428
Source: RNAcentral